GAUGAACGCUGGCGGCGUGCCUAAUACAUGCAAGUCGAGCGAACAGACGAGGAGCUUGCUCCUCUGACGUUAGCGGCGGACGGGUGAGUAACACGUGGAUAACCUACCUAUAAGACUGGGAUAACUUCGGGAAACCGGAGCUAAUACCGGAUAAUAUAUUGAACCGCAUGGUUCAAUAGUGAAAGACGGUUUUGCUGUCACUUAUAGAUGGAUCCGCGCCGCAUUAGCUAGUUGGUAAGGUAACGGCUUACCAAGGCAACGAUGCGUAGCCGACCUGAGAGGGUGAUCGGCCACACUGGAACUGAGACACGGUCCAGACUCCUACGGGAGGCAGCAGUAGGGAAUCUUCCGCAAUGGGCGAAAGCCUGACGGAGCAACGCCGCGGGAGUGAUGAAGGGCUUCGGAUCGGAAAACUCUGUUAUUAGGGAAGAACAAAUGUGUAAGUAACUAUGCACGUCUUGACGGUACCUAAUCAGAAAGCCACGGCUAACUACGUGC
Molecule: ribosomal RNA, 498 nt
Filed under: uncultured bacterium
Lineage: Bacteria
Description: partial 16S ribosomal RNA
Rfam family: Bacterial small subunit ribosomal RNA
Source: RNAcentral